Molecule: ribosomal RNA, 629 nt
Filed under: uncultured Geobacteraceae bacterium
Lineage: Bacteria; Pseudomonadati; Thermodesulfobacteriota; Desulfuromonadia; Geobacterales; Geobacteraceae
Description: bacterial SSU rRNA
Rfam family: Bacterial small subunit ribosomal RNA (bases 83-629)
Source: RNAcentral
CMWWWUUAAWAGGCAAGUGCAWUCCAKAACCUGUUUUYCCCGCUSGCCCCCYYYWWMAGGGGKGWUGRAUWUKGUKKKMWUWMGCCCUUAGAGUUUGAUCCUGGCUCAGAACGAACGCUGGCGGCGUGCUUAACACAUGCAAGUCGAACGUGAUCCAGAGCUUGCUCUGGUGAAAGUGGCGCACGGGUGAGUAACGCGUGGAUAACCUGCCCUGGUAUCUGGGAUAACAUCUCGAAAGGGGUGCUAAUACCGGAUAAGCCUACGGACUCCUCGGAGUCUGCAGGAAAAGGAGGCCUCUAUUUAUAAGCUUCCGUAUCAUGAUGGGUCCGCGUACCAUUAGCUAGUUGGUGGGGUAAUGGCCUACCAAGGCGACGAUGGUUAGCUGGUCUGAGAGGAUGAUCAGCCACACUGGAACUGAGACACGGUCCAGACUCCUACGGGAGGCAGCAGUGGGGAAUUUUGCGCAAUGGGGGAAACCCUGACGCAGCAACGCCGCGUGAGUGAUGAAGGCUUUCGGGUCGUAAAGCUCUGUCAGAGGGGAAGAAAUGAAACGUGCUAAUAUCACGUUUUCUUGACGGUACCCUCAAAGGAAGCACCGGCUAACUCCGUGCCAGCAGCCGCGGUAAUAC